CAAACCCAUUUUUCAGCAACAAUCUAGCGCACACAAAAUGGAGGAAGCAUCUAAAACCAUUGCACACCAAAUCAGAGAUUUUGAAAUUCUGUUCUAGAUCGCUUGCUGUUGUUCAAUGGAGUCGGCUCAGGUGCUGCCCAACAACUCUGCUUCGUCUCGGAAGCAAGAGCAUCUGGAAGCUGGCAAGCGUCGAUUUUAGAGAAAAUGGUAGCUAGAAUAGUGGAUCUUCGAUCGGAUACAGUGACGAAGCCGACUGAGUCAAUGAGGGCUGCUAUGGCAAGUGCUGAAGUUGAUGACGAUGUUCUUGGUUAUGAUCCGACGGCUUUACUAUUAGAGACAGAGAUGGCGAAGAUGAUGGGAAAAGAGGCUGCUCUUUUUGUUCCAUCAGAGACUAUGGGUAACCUUAUCGCUGUACUUGUUCAUUGUGAGGUUAGGUGAAGUGAAAUUAUUCUGGGAGAUACUAGUCAUAUCAAUAUUUAUGAGAAUGGUGGUAUUUCGACCAUUGGAGGAGUGCAUUCGAGAAAGCUGAAAAAUAGUGAUGAUGAAACGAUUGACAUUGAUUUGAUUGAGUCUGCGAUUAGAGA
This is a long non-coding RNA of Vicia villosa (hairy vetch), 584 nucleotides long. RefSeq lists it as uncharacterized. The record is from RefSeq and is a predicted model, not a curated record. The transcript is spliced from 3 exons. NCBI's taxonomy places the organism in Eukaryota, Viridiplantae, Streptophyta, Magnoliopsida, Fabales, Fabaceae.